GCCCCGCGUCUGAUUAGCUGGUUGGCGGGGCAGCGGCCCACCAAGGCGACGAUCAGUAGCCGGCCUGAGAGGGCGGACGGCCACAUUGGGACUGAGACACGGCCCAGACUCCUGCGGGAGGCAGCAGUGGGGAAUAUUGCACAAUGGGGGAAACCCUGAUGCAGCGACGCCGCGUGAGCGAAGAAGUAUUUCGGUAUGUAAAGCUCUAUCAGCAGGGAAGAAGAAAGUGACGGUACCUGACUAAGAAGCUCCGGCUAAAUAC
RNAcentral lists this ribosomal RNA (262 nucleotides) under uncultured bacterium. RNAcentral's name for it is "partial 16S ribosomal RNA". It matches the Rfam family "Bacterial small subunit ribosomal RNA", at positions 228 to 504 of the family's 1533-position model. The record is from RNAcentral.